UACGUAGGGUGCGAGCGUUAAUCGGAAUUACUGGGCGUAAGCGUGCGCAGGCGGUGAGCUGUAGUCCGAUGGUGAAAGCCCCGGGCUUAACCUCGGGAAUGGCAUUGGAAACUGGCUCGCUGGAGUGUGGCAGAGGGGGUGGAAUUCCGGCGUGUAGCAGUGAAAUGCGUAGAGAUGCGGAGGAACACCGAUGGCGAAGGCAGCCCCUGGGCUAGCCACUGACGCUCAGGCACGAAAGCGUGGGGAGCAAACAGG
This 255-nucleotide ribosomal RNA is filed under the name uncultured bacterium. Its description in RNAcentral is "partial 16S ribosomal RNA". It matches the Rfam family "Bacterial small subunit ribosomal RNA", at positions 524 to 776 of the family's 1533-position model. The record is from RNAcentral.